This 657-nucleotide ribosomal RNA is filed under the name Limosilactobacillus fermentum. RNAcentral's name for it is "bacterial SSU rRNA". It matches the Rfam family "Bacterial small subunit ribosomal RNA", at positions 94 to 736 of the family's 1533-position model. Lineage: Bacteria; Bacillati; Bacillota; Bacilli; Lactobacillales; Lactobacillaceae. The record is from RNAcentral.
AGUGGCGGACGGUUGACUAACACGUAUGUAACCUGCCCACAAGCGGGGGACAACAUUCGGAAACAGAUGCUAAUACCGCAUAACAUCGUUGUUCGCAUGAACAACGCUUAAAAGAUGGCUUCUCGCUAUCACUUCUGGAUGGACCUGCGGUGCAUUAGCUUGUUGGUGGGGUAAUGGCCUACCAAGGCGAUGAUGCAUAGCCGAGUUGAGAGACUGAUCGGCCACAAUGGGACUGACACACGGCCCAUACUCCUACGGGAGGCAGCAGUAGGGAAUCUUCCACAAUGGGCGCAAGCCUGAUGGAGCAACACCGCGUGAGUGAAGAAGGGUUUCGGCUCGUAAAGCUCUGUUGUUAAAGAAGAACACGUAUGAGAGUAACUGUUCAUACGUUGACGGUAUUUAACCAGAAAGUCACGGCUAACUACGUGCCAUCAGCCGCGGUAAUACGUAGGUGGCAAGCGUUAUCCGGAUUUAUUGGGCGUAAAGAGAGUGCAGGCGGUUUUCUAAGUCUGAUGUGAAAGCCUUCGGCUUAACCGGAGAAGUGCAUCGUAAACUGGAUAACUUGAGUGCAGAANAGGAUAUUGGAACUCCAUGUGUAUCGAUGGAAUGCGUANAUAUAUGGAAGAACACCACUGGCGAANGCGGCUACCUGGUCUG